CAGCAGCCGCGGUAAAACGGAGGGUGCAAGCGUUAAUCGGAAUUACUGGGCGUAAAGCGCACGCAGGCGGUUUGUUAAGUCAGAUGUGAAAUCCCCGAGCCUAACUUGGGAACUGCAUUUGAAACUGGCAAGCUAGAGUCUUGUAGAGGGGGGUAGAAUCCCAGGUGUAGCGGUGAAAUGCGUAGAGAUCUGGAGGAAUACCGGUGGCGAAGGCGGCCCCCUGGACAAAGACUGACGCUCAGGUGCGAAAGCGUGGGGAGCAAACAGGAUUAGAUACCCGAGUAGUCCCUGUCUCUUAUAC
Molecule: ribosomal RNA, 301 nt
Filed under: uncultured bacterium
Lineage: Bacteria
Description: partial 16S ribosomal RNA
Rfam family: Bacterial small subunit ribosomal RNA
Source: RNAcentral